GGCCAUAGCUCAGUGGUAGAGCACCUGCUUUGCUUGCAGAAGGUUCCAGGUUCAAUCCCCAGCAUCUCCA
Molecule: non-coding RNA, 70 nt
Organism: Podarcis lilfordi (Lilford's wall lizard)
Lineage: Eukaryota; Metazoa; Chordata; Lepidosauria; Squamata; Lacertidae
Source: the annotation of a GenBank genome assembly